This is a long non-coding RNA of Vespula vulgaris, 6278 nucleotides long. RefSeq lists it as uncharacterized. The record is from RefSeq and is a predicted model, not a curated record. NCBI's taxonomy places the organism in Eukaryota, Metazoa, Arthropoda, Insecta, Hymenoptera, Vespidae. The transcript has 2 exons.
UCUCUCUAUCGGCAGAAAUUAAGUUGUUAAGAUGCUGCCUCGGGCGUAGCCGAGCCAAAGAGAAGAUCGUGAAAGUAAUGGCGGUUCGUGGUCGCCGUGCUUCAUAUCCGCUGUCCCGUACCCUAGUGUGCGUAGAAAACUUUUACUCGAGGCGCGCAAGGUCGAGUACUGGUGUACGUCGCACGUUUUUCAAAAUCGAUAUUAAUUUUUCUCAACGAAUCGAUGAUAUAUGCGCUACUGAGAGAGAGAGAGAAACGCCGUUUCGAUUUGUCUGAUUAUUAUUGUAUCUCGGAGGUUCGUCGUUUCGUACAGUAUUUACUCGAAUUACAAACGUGCCAUCGUCCUCCAGAUUUUUAAUAAGCCGAUCUUCCGGUACGGUCUCCGAAGGUCGCUCCAAAGACGCUCUACGAUUCCUCGUCGACAGAUCUUUCAAUUUUCUUCUUCUCUUUUGCCCCUUCGCCCUUAAUUCCUAACAAUUUCGUUACACUCGCGUUGCAUUAAGACGAUUUUCAAAGUUUCAACGAAACGACUCUAGUAGACGUAAUUCUAACGUAACACCAACGUAAAGCGUCGUCGAAGAUCGUUGUAAAGCUCGUCGUUCAUCGUGCGGGAGAAAUCUAGGGGCUCGACGCCGAGCAGGCGCUCCGAAGCGAGAAGAAAGAUCGUCGGAGAUGGUGCGGUGAAUGCCUCGGUACCGGCAUCUCUAGACUGACGGAUACAUCUUUAUUACGGUAACGUAUCAUAAAUUGACCGAGUUAUCGUCCAUUCGGCAUUAUAACGAUAAGUAACGACGUGCGAAACUGAAAUCCUUUAACGAAGACUCGAUCGAAAGUUAAAGUAGGACGCGCAAGAAAGGUCUACCUGUCGCAGAAAGUUUACCAGCCGCCGCGAUCGAACCAACGACGACUAGAAUCCCGGAGACACCUGCCCGAGGAAUCGGUCGAUCUUUCCGUUUCUUCCGUGGCGAACGAAACUCGAACGAACAACGAGGAAUUUCGCACGUCUAACUUCGAACGUUAAAUUUCCUACGUCUUUCAUUUCUCAACGAGCUAACGAGGAGAUAAAAGGGCAAAAUAUCGAUUUCUCGACUUCCGGCGCGAGAUGCUCUUUAAAUCUCGUUACGAAGGUAAAAUGAUCUUAAACGGUGGCGCAAACGGUGCGAUAAAGUCGGAGCAUUCGUCUUAAUGAGAUCCAGUCGGGCAACUGGAAGGCGUCAUAAAUUUAUUAGAUGCCCGCAUGCGUACGAGCGAGGAGGCGUCAAUUCCGUUUGUCAAACGAGCCGAGACGGUACUUCCUAAACCGAUCUUGAUUCGCUCGUCGUUAUCUUUUCGGACGUUCCAAGAUAAUGUUUUAUUCGAGCGACGUUGUUAAAACGAAUGAGCGGGAGAGAAACGCGACGCGAAAGAGACGCAAGGAGGAGGAAUGGCGCGAGAAGAGGGCUGCCGAAUAAAAAAUGCAGAUUCUGCCGAUACACGGGAGGGGGGAAUGGUAGAGGAGUACACGGGUAGCGGCGCCGAUAUCUCGAUUCGAGAAUCUCCGAGAGCGAGUCCUCGUUGUUCUUUUUCCGUGUCGGAUGAACGUGCACGUAUGCGUGUGCACGUACGCGUACGCGGCUCGGUUCCGUUUAUGUAUUUGCCGUAAAGAGGCGAAACCCCAAGAGGAGAGAGAGAGAGAGAGGCAAGAGACGAUUGUCGGAGGCAGAGGAGAACGCGAGAGGAAGCAAAGAGAGAAAGUAAAAGGAAAGAGAACUGUUCUCACCGCAUGUGUUAAGCAGCGGUGUCGGCGUCCCGAUUGGACGCGGAUCCUGUUUACUCGCGACCACUAUCCUUGUUUACGAUCCUUACUACAAACGCGAAUCCGAAGCCGACGAUCUUUCGAUCGUGAGUUCCGAGUCUCCUCGCGUGUCGGAUCAACGAGUCUCCUUUCUUUCUCUUUCGUAUUUGUUAUUUCUUAAAAAUGUUCCGGUAGAAUUUUUUUAUCGGAGAUAAAAGACAGCGUAGUCGAGCCUUUCAAUUUACGUUUCGUAUUGAAUUCGAUGCCUAUCGUACAAAUAAUCUAUUGUCUUCUUCCGCGUCGAAAGAUCGUUCUUUUCCUUCCUUCGAACAUCGAGCGAAAUUGCGACCGCGACGCGAACCAGACGCGAUCGGAGGAUCGAUCGACUCCUCGCGUACGUUUUGCAUGCGAGAAAUGUUAUUAUUUACUUAUAUCUCGUUUACUCACUAAAAAUUUCCUUUUUCCGACGUAGCGGUGCCUGCGCCUUUGGCCCGCAGCCGCGAAACUUGUCACGGAAUAAACUACCUUCCCUCGACAAAGCGCCAAAUAAGAGCAACGAAUGCGGUUAAAUCAGACAUUCAAAAUGGCCGGCUCGUCCGGACCGUGGGUGUUGAAAAGGCCCGAAGGCCUUUAGCCGUAUCCAUCCUUGCCGUGCUAAAUCUCGCGUGAAUACCAGCCUUAGUAUCCGCACGAAGGGCUGGUAAAAAGAAAGAGCGGGGAGAGAGAGGAAGAAGGAGAAAAGGAGGAGAGCAGAAGAAGAAAGACCAGGAGCAUCGAAGAUAGAGACGUCAAAUCCCUUUUGCGUUUCCACGCUACGCGUUGCCCAUUGCUGUGCUUUUCUAGUCGUAAGAAAGGAACGACUCUCUCUCUCUCUCUCUCUCUCUCUCUCUCUCUCUCUCUCUCUCUCUCCUUAUUUCUCUUCCAGAUUCGCUCUAUUCUAACUCUCACAAUGCGGGCCGAUCAAAGGAUCCUUUAAAAAUGUUUCUAUUGGUUCUAAGAAAAGACGAGCUUAGAAAUAUCAUGACGUAACGAAAGGAAAUAAUGAAAGGAUAUUCGUCGACAUCAUUUCGAGGGGUACUCGGACGCUUCUGGAUAUACGAUGGCUAGAAAUGACUAGGAAGUGGACGCUCGAAGGGGAUUCGUUAAAGAUUUUGACGAGAUAGCUCGAGGAAACGAAAGAGCGUUCCAAGAAGGAAGCGAAGAACGACGCAGAAAUUUGUCGCAUCCACGAAAGUGAUCUUUCUCGUCUUCUCGGUCCUCUCCAUGGAGUCGAGAUUCGGUGCGAGCAAUUAAGGAAUAAGGAUUUAUCGCGGUCUCUCGUCCAAUCCCUUGUCGCUCGUUUUUCUUUCUUUCUCGUCUCUCUUAACGACCGGCGUUCUAGUUUUUCGAAAGAAAAUCUUUGUUCGACAGGAAGAUACGCGUCAGCAAUAUCAUUAAAUAACGAGUAUAUUCGUAAGAUCGACCCCGUUUCCGUUUCUAUUCUUUUAGAUUUUCAGACUCCGAAGGCCGCGAUUGGUCUCGAUGACAUAUACGUAAAAGAAAACAUAAGAGCGUGUGUACGUUCGAGGGUGAUCGAGCGGCGCGAUGCCAAGGCAAUAACGAGCGGCGACUUUGCUAGCCGUAUCUCUUGACGUCUUAAUGAAGCAAUCACGAGGGCCCUCGAGAUCCUCUCGAGAGGGUCCGUCGAGAGAGAGAGAGAGAGAGAGAGAGAGAGAGGCCCAGAGGGAGGAGAAGAGGGACCGGCGACUAACGAUCGAGCGGAACGUUGAGAAAAGAGGAAGGGAGGAAAAGGGAAUCGAGAUCUCUUUCGACGAUGUACCGCGUUCUCGCUCUCUCUUUCCUUCUCCCUCCCUUUCGUGUCUCUUUUCUUUCUCUUUUCUCCCCUCUUUCCUUGGAGAACGCCGCGAGAAGGCGUCGAUGGGGCGUGCCUCGAAGAUUUUAGGUUCAACGAUUCUUUGGCAGGAGGAUUUCUUUCGAGGCUCCUCUGAAAGGAGAGGGAGAAAAGAAGAAAUCUCGUGGCGAGGAACAAAGAGGAUGGAAAAUCAUCGAUCCUUCUUUAUUUACCGAGAGAGGUCAACUGUUUUUUCGUGGAAAUGAUAAAAGGUAUCUUGAAAAAUUGGUCGUGUCUCGGUAGAUGCUGAGAUAAAUUCGUACGACUAAAUUAACAAAGAAAAAAAUAUGAAAGAGACGAAAGAAAAAGAGAGAACCAUAUAGGAAGAUUAUCACAUAUUCUUCGGAUCACCCUUUGGUCGGGAACAACGCCGCUGAUUAUCUCGUAACGUAUGCUUUUCCUUUCCGAGAAGGAGACUAUCGGAGGACGCACGAUUUCGUAAAAGCGAACACCCCGCUGAGAGAUUCGCUUGACAGGAGCGAGGCUACGCGUUAAGAACUCCCGUCGUGUUACGGCAUUUGUCAAGAGGUGUUCCCUGUCUCGUACCUGUUUCGUCUCUGUUUUCUCUCCCUCUCUCUCUCUCUCUCUCUCUCUUAUAUCUUUUAUUAUCGCCCGUUUAAAAUCGAAUCAAAGGAAACAUUUUCUUUCGUUUUAGGAUUCGUUUCGAAUAGAUCCGACAUAGUUUCGAUGUACGUACAAAUUUCCUUUUAUUCGCAUUUGCAUUCAGUCCUAUCGUAACGAAGCCGGUACCCUCUUCCGUGGAAAAAAGAGAAAAGGAAGGUAGGUAAUUCGUCCGCGUGACGAUAUUGUCAUAGAUAAUAUCCGUUCGAAACUUUUCGAAUCGACAACAGCCGAUGAACGUUCUUUCGUUUUCUUCGAUCUUGAUAAUGCAAAGAUCCUAAAUUAAUAUGCCUCUCUGUAGUCUUCCUUUGCGCCUUUACGUCAUGACCCGUGCUUCGCUUUCUCUUUUCUUAUCUUCCAUCACCUUUUUAUACGUCCCAUUGACAUUGUUCCAUUGACUGAAAAAGAAAAAUAUCUCGUAAGGAAAGAGACACGAUUCGAACGAAAUGUAUGGAUUUUGCAAAAAUCACGAAGAUUCGAUCGGUAGAUUAAAAAGUUUGUAUGCAUUCUCGAAAAAAGAUCUUCUUCUUCUACCAGUUUUAUUGCGUUCUUAUAUCGUAUUAAAAGAGGGCCACGAUUUUUCCAAUCAAUCGCUUUUUACGUAAGAACAAUGAGAAGGAUUAAUUGAUUAUUCGUUCGAAGGGAAAGCAGAAAAACGAAACGAAAGGAAGAAGGCGCCAAAAGAUUCUUCGAAGCGAUUCGCGUGCAACACGAACGUGUACACAUGCAUAUGCAUGUGUUCCGAUGGGAAAAGUACCAGAAUGCCGAUCGCUCGCGCGAUGUCAGCGCCUAUUUAACUUUGUUAGGGUCGCACGCAUAACAAGCGGCUUAUACGUGAAUACCAAUGAGAAGCUCUUACGGCGAAGCUAAACGAUCUUCGGAGAAUAACGAUCGCAUGCAUGUUUCCCCGUGUCUGGCUCACGAGUACAGUCGGAUCUCUCGAGAUCCUUCGUUCUUGCGAUCGUUGAUCGUCGUGAUUUGAACAAUUGCGACGAGGCACGUCGAACCUAAAGGGAUGCUUUUAAGGAUCCAGAUAAAACUACGGGAUUCCCUCUUGUAUAAAGAUCUACGAUGAUAGCAGAGAUUACCGGAUAUACCUACUCGUUUGUACGUAUCCGUUUAGAUGUAUCUACGAUAAAUCACGUCGAUCGUCAAUAGUCCUCGAGCACUUUUUCUUUCUUCGAUUUCCAUUAAUAUAGAUAAAACCUAACGGAUCAAAAAUUUCGAGACUUAUAUAAUGCACGCGCACGAGCGUGUGCGUACCGAAAGACUCGCGGGAUAUUAUGAAAGAAUAUUUAAAUACGCGCAAGAAGAUUGUUUGAUUUUAGGCUUUAAGAAGCGCGUGCCGGGUGCCGCGUGGCAUAGUUUGCUUAGAUUACCUGGGCCAAAGACCUAUCACUUUCGGAGCUCCUUACUUCCAAGUCCAAGUUCUUACCUAAAGUUUACUUUGCUUUCCUUCACUCGGGACCAUUGUCCUGGCGAAGGCCCUACGCCUUACUAAAAAGAGAUAGAAGGGCUGUCGAGGUUCUCAACAUCGCAACCAACGUCUUUAUAAAAGCUCGCCGACGUUCUUUUCGCUAGAAAAUCGAAUCUUCGAGCAUCGCGAAAGUUAUUAUCAAGGAAAAUUUUUCAAUGAAAAUACUUUUUUCAAGAUCGACGAGUAUCGACAAAAAAACUAAUUUGUAUUUACCAUCUCUUUCGUCGACGAUGGAAUCAAAAGGUUUCAGAAGCUUUUCAAAGAUUCGUUUUUCAAUUCGUUUUUAAAUUAAUUUCGCGAUUUAAUUUCACGAGGCGAUUUUUCAAGUCGACGCACGACAGCUUCGAGAGAACGGAAAAGGGAUAAAACUCGGAAAAGAACUCGGUUGAGAGUCACAGGACCCCUCGGAGGCCCCGUCGAGCUCGUCGAAGGAGAGGGAGACGAGUAGGAGCAAAGUAGGGGUGGAGUCGUGUCGAUGGAGAAGGAGAAAAGAGAAGGAGAGAGAGAGAGAGAGAG